GCGGGAAUGGCGAAAUUGGCAGACGCACCAGACUUAGGAUCUGGUGCCGCAAGGCGUGGAGGUUCAAGUCCUCUUUCCCGCACCA
RNAcentral lists this transfer RNA (85 nucleotides) under Helicobacter cinaedi. Its description in RNAcentral is "tRNA-Leu". It matches the Rfam family "tRNA". Rfam says of the family: Transfer RNA (tRNA) molecules are approximately 80 nucleotides in length. Their secondary structure includes four short double-helical elements and three loops (D, anti-codon, and T loops). Lineage: Bacteria; Pseudomonadati; Campylobacterota; Epsilonproteobacteria; Campylobacterales; Helicobacteraceae. The record is from RNAcentral.